Molecule: long non-coding RNA, 455 nt
Organism: Nematostella vectensis (starlet sea anemone)
Lineage: Eukaryota; Metazoa; Cnidaria; Anthozoa; Actiniaria; Edwardsiidae
Exons: 3
Source: RefSeq, a predicted model, not a curated record
UUUUGGAACCGACACGACGCGAGCGAACGUAAAACUGAGCUAAACAUUUCUCGUUGCAGACGGACAGGAAGCUUGCAUCGUCUACCCUAGCCAAUCACGCUGCCUCCUUGAUCUACCCAGCAAAAUUCUUGAACCGAGAACACGCCGUCACCCUCUACAGGGAUGUCAAAGUCGUUUCGCAGCUGAGGGGUGCCUGCAAUGCGUUUCAGAGGCAGGCCCGCGCUGCGCAGCCCACGCAAGAGGACCUUGUCAAUGCAAAUAAGUGGUUGCCAUGGGAUGAGGUGAUUCAUUGUGUGGACAUGCAGACAGAAAGAUUUGACAUGGCACGCUCACAGGUAACGAUUUCAACCAGCAGUCCUGAUGUGUGAAAGCUGUAAUUUGUGGGCAUUGCACUGCAUUGUUGGAAAGGCCUAGGCAUACCGUCUUGGGUCGGCGGUAGCGGAACUCGACUCACA